AUGCGCUACCUGGGGCUUCCGUUAUCCGUCAAGCGCCUCAAGCGAAUCCACUUCCAGUACCUUGAAGAUAAAAUUGCGGGCAAGCUCCCUCCCUGGCAGGGAAGACAUGUGGCCUCUGCUGGCCGUGUGGUUCUUGUUAAGGCCAUCCUAACUGCCAUUGCUAUCUACCAUCUCACGCCGCUCGACAUCCCGGUGGAGGUCCGCAAGAAAAUCGAUAGUAUUCGCCGUGCAUAUCUUUGGGCGGGCUCAGACAAGGUGUCUGGAGGAAAAUGCAAGGUAAAUUGG
Molecule: ribosomal RNA, 285 nt
Filed under: Triticum aestivum (bread wheat)
Lineage: Eukaryota; Viridiplantae; Streptophyta; Magnoliopsida; Poales; Poaceae
Description: partial small subunit ribosomal RNA
Source: RNAcentral